Dreissena polymorpha is the source of this 2624-nucleotide RNA transcript. It is a transcript of the gene named BTB/POZ domain-containing protein KCTD3-like, with no coding region annotated. The record is from RefSeq and is a predicted model, not a curated record. NCBI's taxonomy places the organism in Eukaryota, Metazoa, Mollusca, Bivalvia, Myida, Dreissenidae. The transcript is spliced from 21 exons.
GUCAACUUCCGGUAUAAUUUUAGAAUUGAUUGAACCUAUAAAUAAGCAUAAAUGCUCAGCUACUAUUUAAAGUAAAACUUUAUCGUUUACUUAAUAUAGUUGUAUUUUCUUAACGGAACAGAUGCCCGGAGAAAUUAUCCAUCUCAAUGUUGGUGGCAAAAGGUUUUCUACAUCCAAACAAACACUGACAUGGAUACCAGAGUCAUUUUUUACAAGUUUGCUAAGUGGAAGAAUAUCAAGCCUCAAAGAUGACAAAGGAGCUAUAUUUAUUGACAGGGAUCCUGCAUUAUUUUCGGUCAUCUUGAAUUUUCUUCGCACAAAAGAAGUUGACCUUAAAAAUGUAAACAUCGAAAGUCUCAAGCAUGAAGCGGAAUUUUAUGGCAUGAAGCCAUUAGUUCAGAAGUUAAGCCUGUGUGAGGAGCUAGAGGCAGCCUCGUGUGGUGACGUCCUCUUCCACGGCUGUCUGGGGCCGCCAUGUCCCCCGCUGCUCAUGAGGAGCAGAUCCCAGUCCACUGUGUGCCAGGAGAAUCCCCACCGAUCAGCCGCACAACAGAGGCAUUCCUCUGCAGAGACAACACAGAGUGGUUUCCGCCAGGAGGAGAACCACAGCUCACACAUGCGCCAGGCCAGCGUUGAUAUAUCGAGCCUGGAGCGACAGGGUUCAAGCUCCACCCUGACCCGCACUCCCUCCACACACAGUCUGUCUCGACUCACCCUGUCAGCAGAGGCGCGGUCUAUCUCACGACCUGUGCCAUAUGAGGCUCUCACCAGUAGACUUGCUAAUGCAACAAAAACUGCAGGCUUGCGGACUGAUCCACUAAGGGUAACCAUGUUACGUGGCCAUCACAACUGGAUAGCUGCAUCUUACCCACACUUUGUUUGCUGCUACAGAAUGAAGGACUCAACAGGCUGGCACCUGCUGUGGACCAGCGAGUACCAGGAGACCCCGAUAGAGCGCAUAGCAAUCAAUGCCAAGGUGAUGUCCGCCAACCAGGACAACUCCAACAAGAUGGUGGCGGCUGCUGCUGGCAGCAUGGUGCGACUGUGGUCCAUAUCGGAGGACGGAGGGAGCAGGGAGAUAGGUGUGUUCAACAUGCAUGUGCCGGUGGACUCGCUGUUCUUCAUUGGUAGUCAGCUGGUGGCACUGAGCAAACUGGGCAAGGUUGGAGUCUGGCACUCCAUGACUCAUAACUGGCAGAUCCAGGAUGUGGUGGCUAUAACUAGUUUUGACAAGGCAGGAUCUUUUCUAUUGCUGGGUUGUGAGAAUGGUUCAGUGUACUAUAUAGACAUGCAGAAGUUCCCCCUGCGAAUGAAGGACAAUGACCUCCUGGUGACGGAGUUGUACCGUGAUCCCCAGGGGGACAAGGUGACGGCCCUUAGUGUGUACCUCACACCAAAAACAAGGCAAUCUCCCAGACUUAGUGAGAAUCACACUGAAGGUUUGAGUGGCAACUGGAUAGAGAUUGCUUACGGCACAAGUUCCGGUACUGUUCGGGUGAUUGUUCAGCAUCCGGAGACUGUGGGACACGGACCGCAGCUCUUCCAGACAUUCACAGUCCACCGAUCACCUGUCACCAAGGUGAUGCUGUCAGAGAAGCAUUUAGUUUCAGUGUGUUCAGAGUACAACCAUGUACGUACAUGGAGCGUGACCCGUUUCCGGGGUAUGAUCUCAACUCAGCCUGGCUCCACCCCCCUCGCCUCCUUCAAAGUGAUCUCCCUUGAGGAAUACGACACUCACCAGAGCUACCAUGCUGGCAACGACUUUGGUCCUUUUGGAGAGCAAGAUGACCAGCAGGUGUUUGUACAGAAGGUUGUCCCAGAGACUGAUCAGCUCUUUAUACGCCUCUCAUCGUCUGGAAGGAGGGUGUGUGUGAUCAAGUCUGUGGACGGCACCACAAUCAGCGCGUUCCGAGUGCACGAGUGUGAGGGGUCAAGCAGGAUGGGGUCAAGGCCUCGCAGGUUUCUAUUCACUGGUCACACUAAUGGCGGCAUUCAGAUGUGGGACCUGACCACGGCACUUGACCUACUGAGUCCAGCUGAGGAAAAUACAGACAGGUGUCUGGGAGGGCCGACCCCCGGUGAACUGGUGAAGCUCCUGGAACAGUGCGACAUCUCCCAGUCCCAGAACUCCACCCCCUGUAUCAGCCCCUCACCCUCCAUUAUGGCUGGAUCCCUGCUCAGAUACACUUCAGAGUGCGGAUCUGGCCAGGAAAAUAGGUCAGAUCCGAGAGGGGAGGAGCAAGGGGCAGUAGGUGGAACAGAGCCAUCCCCUCAACCUCAGGUUACAUACCACCUGUAAAUUAGUGGAGGUUUGCCCUGCAUUUGGGCAGACAUUGCUUGGCUUAAACUAACAGACUGGUCACCAAAUGGUAAGAAAGAGAUGGGAAGUUAUUGGGUGUGAAUAGGUAUAAAUCCAGCGCAUGGAAGGGGACAGUUCCUUGAAAAGGGCUUCAUCCAUUCAUCUUGUGAUUGGGCUGUGAAAGGAAUUUCAACACAUGUGGUUUUAGUCACAUGAUCAUGACAGUCAAACACAUCUCACAAUUGAAGACACUCUUUUCUUUGUCAUUGUGUUGCACCAGUUGCAAAAUGAUUACAUAUUUCAAAUAAUAAAAGUCCCUAUGUAU